Molecule: transfer RNA, 75 nt
Filed under: Macrima straminea
Lineage: Eukaryota; Metazoa; Arthropoda; Insecta; Coleoptera; Chrysomelidae
Description: tRNA-Leu
Source: RNAcentral
GUUAUUUUGGCAGAUUAGUGUAAUAGAUUUAGAAUCUUUUUAUGUAGUUUAUUUCUACAAAUAAUACUUGUUAUU